RNAcentral lists this small RNA (535 nucleotides) under Pan troglodytes (chimpanzee). Its description in RNAcentral is "processed transcript". Lineage: Eukaryota; Metazoa; Chordata; Mammalia; Primates; Hominidae. The record is from RNAcentral.
CCUUUGUUGAGGUGGAAGUGGUGGAUGUCAAUGAAAACCUCCACACUCCCUAUUUCCCAGACUUUGCUGUUGUUGGAUCUGUAAAAGAAAACUCACGCAUUGGAACAAGCGUGCUGCAGGUGACUGCUCGAGAUGAAGACUCCGGAAGGGAUGGAGAGAUCCAGUACUCCAUCAGGGAUGGCAGUGGUCUUGGAAGGUUCAGUAUAGACGACGAGAGUGGGGUCAUCACUGCCGCAGACAUUCUUGAUCGGGAGACAAUGGGGUCAUACUGGCUAACAGUGUAUGCCACAGACAGGGGCGUUGUUCCACUCUACUCCACCAUUGAGGUUUACAUUGAAGUUGAAGAUGUGAAUGACAAUGCCCCGCUGACCUCAGAACCUAUAUAUUAUCCUGUUGUCAUGGAAAACUCUCCAAAGGACGUAUCUGUCAUUCAGAUCCAGGCUGAAGAUCCUGACUCCAGUUCCAAUGAAAAACUGACAUACAGGAUUACAAGUGGAAAUCCUCAGAAUUUUUUUGCCAUCAAUAUCAAAACAGG